CGGGGUGAGUAACGCGUGGAUAACCUGCCUCACACAGGGGGAUAACAGUUAGAAAUGACUGCUAAUACCGCAUAAGCGCACAGUCUCGCAUGGGACAGUGUGAAAAACUGAGGUGGUGUGAGAUGGAUCCGCGUCUGAUUAGGCAGUUGGCGGGGUAACGGCCCACCAAACCGACGAUCAGUAGCCGGCCUGAGAGGGUGAACGGCCACAUUGGGACUGAGACACGGCCCAAACUCCUACGGAAGGCAGCAG
This 252-nucleotide ribosomal RNA is filed under the name uncultured bacterium. RNAcentral's name for it is "partial 16S ribosomal RNA". It matches the Rfam family "Bacterial small subunit ribosomal RNA", at positions 100 to 354 of the family's 1533-position model. The record is from RNAcentral.